AAGGGGGGACGGAGAAGGCUAUGUUAGCCGGGCGACGGUUGUCCCGGUUUAAGCAAGAAGGCCUGCGACAUA
This 72-nucleotide ribosomal RNA is filed under the name Klebsiella pneumoniae. Its description in RNAcentral is "partial 23S ribosomal RNA". Lineage: Bacteria; Pseudomonadati; Pseudomonadota; Gammaproteobacteria; Enterobacterales; Enterobacteriaceae. The record is from RNAcentral.